CCAGUCUGGCUCAGUCGGUAGAGCAUGUGACUCUUGAUCUCAGGGUUGUGGGUUCAAGCUCCACUAGACUGGA
Molecule: transfer RNA, 73 nt
Filed under: Canis lupus familiaris (dog)
Lineage: Eukaryota; Metazoa; Chordata; Mammalia; Carnivora; Canidae
Also listed under: 1 other name
Rfam family: tRNA
About the family: Transfer RNA (tRNA) molecules are approximately 80 nucleotides in length. Their secondary structure includes four short double-helical elements and three loops (D, anti-codon, and T loops).
Source: Rfam by way of RNAcentral